AGAGCGCUUGGAGCCAGCGCUGCAGGGAGAUAUCAGUGCGCAGCCCGCAGAGGCGCUGCGGCCCGUGCAGCCCCGGAGGCCCCUCGCGGAGAAGGCGGCGGCGGAGGAGAGGCCGAGUUACCGCCCGCCGCCUGCGCCCCCCCAACCCCGCCGCCGCCGCCGCCGCUGCCGCCGCUGCCACUUCCCCCCCUCCCCGCGGCGCCGCAUCUUGAAUGGAAACAUGGCGGUGCCGGCUCGGACCUGCGGCGCCUCUCGGCCCGGCCCAGCGCGGACUGCGCGCCCCUGGCCCGGCUGCGGCCCCCAGCCUGGCCCCGGCACCCGGCGUCCGACGUCCGGGCCCCCGCGCCCGCUGUGGCUGCUGCUGCCGCCGCUGCUGCUUCUACCGCUGCUCGCCGCCCCCAGCGCCUCUGCCUACAGCUUCCCCCAGCAGCACACGAUGCAGCACUGGGCCCGGCGUCUGGAGCAGGAGGUAGACGGCGUGAUGCGGAUUUUUGGAGGCGUCCAGCAGCUCCGUGAGAUUUACAAGGACAACCGGAACCUGUUCGAGGUACAGGAGAAUGAGCCUCAGAAGUUGGUGGAGAAGGUGGCAGGGGACAUUGAGAGCCUUCUGGACAGGAAGGUGCAGGCCCUGAAGCAGCUCCUGACAUUCCCAACUGGGAAGCUCUCAGAGAUGGGCCAUGCUCCAAGCCCCAAAUGGGCUCAGCCCUGGCCAAAGGAGGGACAAGGAAGAGUCAGUCCCCAACAUGACCUCAAGAAAAUCUGGUGCAGAGUGGCCACCUCUGUAAAUCAGCUGAUGCCUGCACCACUGUAACCACAGCUGUUGACGGGGUGCAGGGCAGAAGCUAAGCAGGAAGAGGCCCAGAGCAGAGGGCAAAUGAGCAGGGCAGUAAGAAGUUGAAAACCAUUAAUUGUCCGUCCAGAGGAGGCGGAUGCCCACAACAUUCUGGGCAAAGGAGAUGGUGUGUGCAAAAGCACGGAGGUGUGAGAAUAUAGCAUAGUAGACAUUCAUCAGUCCUUUCUCAUGCAUUGGAGUGUCUGUGCAGCCAGG
Molecule: small RNA, 1048 nt
Filed under: Pan troglodytes (chimpanzee)
Lineage: Eukaryota; Metazoa; Chordata; Mammalia; Primates; Hominidae
Description: processed transcript
Source: RNAcentral